GCGCUGAAAAGGCCAAUUUCUCCCAGCAUCUAAACAAGCUCCUUCUUCAGUGUCACUUAGCUAAUUCAGCUCAUCCAUUUCCAGGUUAGCGUCACUUAUCUCACUCUGCUCAUCCUUAGUAACCUUAGCUGGUUUCAGCUCAACUUCAGUCUCCUUAGCUGGUUUCAGCUCAGUAUGCUCGCUUUUCAUCCAUCAUGGUUUGUCCUUUGUUGGAUAAUCAGCUGGCUCAGCCAUGGUUACAUCAUUUAGUCUCCCUCAACUAUACAUACACACUAAAUCCUCCUAGACUAGUAAGCACUCCC
Molecule: long non-coding RNA, 302 nt
Filed under: Brassica napus (rape)
Lineage: Eukaryota; Viridiplantae; Streptophyta; Magnoliopsida; Brassicales; Brassicaceae
Description: long non-coding RNA (BNAP_LNC026069)
Source: RNAcentral